GACGAACCGUGCGAACGUUGUUCGGAAUCACUGGGCUUAAAGGGCGCGUAGGCGGGCUGUCCAGUCUGGGGUGAAAUCCCGCGGCUCAACCGCGGAACGGCCUCGGAUACUGACGGCCUCGAGGGGGGUAGGGGCAUCUGGAACUGUAGGUGGAGCGGUGAAAUGCGUUGAUAUCUACAGGAACUCCGGUGGCGAAGGCGAGGUGCUGGACCCCUUCUGACGCUGAGGCGCGAAAGCCAGGGGAGCAAACGGG
Molecule: ribosomal RNA, 253 nt
Filed under: uncultured bacterium
Lineage: Bacteria
Description: partial 16S ribosomal RNA
Rfam family: Bacterial small subunit ribosomal RNA
Source: RNAcentral